UCUCCGUUGGUGAACCAGCGGAGGGAUCAUUACCGAGUUUACAACUCCCAAACCCCAUGUGAACCAUACCACACGUUGCUUCGGCGGUACCGCCCCGGCGCCCUCGGGCCCGGACCAAGGCGCCCGCCGGGGGACCAACCAAACCCUUUUAGUAUCCCGGGCGACCCCCGGCGGCAUUAUCUGAGUACAGCGAAAACAAAACGCAUCAAAACUUUCAACAACGGAUCUCUUGGUUCUG
Molecule: unclassified non-coding RNA, 238 nt
Filed under: Niesslia indica
Lineage: Eukaryota; Fungi; Ascomycota; Sordariomycetes; Hypocreales; Niessliaceae
Also listed under: 1 other name
Description: Monocillium indicum partial contains small subunit ribosomal RNA, internal transcribed spacer 1, and 5.8S ribosomal RNA
Source: RNAcentral